CUUUCUUAAGUCACCCCGCCUCGCAAGAUGGCUGCGGUGCUGCCGGGCCCGGAGCCGUGGAACCGUGUGAGAAUCCCUAGGGCGGGGAACCGCAGCGCAGUGACAGUGCAGAACCCCGGCGCGGCCCUUGACCUUUGCAUUGCAGGUGUAAUUAAAGAAUGCCAUCUCGUCACACUGUCGCUGAAGAGCCAAACCUUAGAUGCAGAAACAGAUGUGUUAUGUGCAGUACUUUACAGCAACCACAACAGAAUGGGCCACCACAAACCCCAUUUGGCCCUCAAACAGGUUGAGCAAUGUUUAAAGCGUUUGAAAAGCAUGAAUUUGGAGGGUUCAAUUCAAGACCUGUUUGAGUUGUUUUCUUCCAAUGAAAAUCAGCCCUUAACUACCAAAGUGUGUGUUGUCCCCAGUCAGCCAGUGGUGGAGUUGGUGUUGAUGAAGGUUGAUUUUGUUAUAUGAGCCUUUGUUUGGACUGCUUCAAGAGGUCGCUAGGAUUCAACCAAUGCCUUACUUCAAAGAUUUUACCUUUCCUUCUGAUAUCACUGAAUUUUUAGGACAG
RNAcentral lists this small RNA (556 nucleotides) under Pongo abelii (Sumatran orangutan). Its description in RNAcentral is "processed transcript". The record is from RNAcentral. Lineage: Eukaryota; Metazoa; Chordata; Mammalia; Primates; Hominidae.